GCUAUUGAUUUAUCGGGUCGAGGGAGCGGACAGGAACCGACCCUAUGGCAAGAUUAGAAACGACAGCCAGAUGCAGACCCAGCCUCGGAAGCGGCCUGACCCUCUGCCCACUGGCACCCAGGCAUCUGUCCUUGUCCUCAUGGCUAAAUAAACCCGUUCAGACCCCGGAGGAUGAACAACAGGACAAGUUAACGGCAACUGACGGUCUCUCAGGCAUGUUCGACUCUUUGCGACCCCAUGGACUGCAGCGUGCCAGGCUUCUCUGUUCUUCAUCUCCGGGAGCUUGCUCAAGCUCAUGGAAGGAAUCUACUGUCAGCCAAACCACAUAUUGAUGUCACUCAAGUUGGGCAUGGUUUAAACGUUGAUAAAACCCGGUUUUCUAGUUUUCCCAGGUGAAUCCCAAUGGCAUGCUCUUUCUAGGAGCAGUUUCUGGUGUCUGUAUUACAGUCACAAGUCCACCGUUUUCCUGCAUCUGGGCACCCACAUAGGUUGGAUUAUUGGGAACUGGUGAAAUUGGUAGUGCAUUCAAGCUGCCUUGGAGAAGUGGAUAAGAGAGUGGCCUAAAGCUGCCCCUCCCAAGACUGCUGCUGCUAAGUCGAGUCAGCCAUGUCUGACUCUUAGCAACCCCACGGACUGUAG
Molecule: long non-coding RNA, 639 nt
Filed under: Capra hircus (goat)
Lineage: Eukaryota; Metazoa; Chordata; Mammalia; Artiodactyla; Bovidae
Description: lncRNA (ENSCHIG00010030821.1)
Source: RNAcentral